This 1229-nucleotide ribosomal RNA is filed under the name metagenome. Its description in RNAcentral is "bacterial SSU rRNA". It matches the Rfam family "Bacterial small subunit ribosomal RNA", at positions 8 to 1258 of the family's 1533-position model. The record is from RNAcentral.
AGAGUUUGAUCCUGGCUCAGGACGAACGCUGGCGGCGCGCCUAACACAUGCAAGUCGAACGAGAGAGAAGGAGCUUGCUUCUUCGAUCGAGUGGCGAACGGGUGAGUAACGCGUGAGGAACCUGCCUCAAAGAGGGGGACAACAGUUGGAAACGACUGCUAAUACCGCAUAAGCCCACGGGUCGGCAUCGACCUGAGGGAAAAGGAGCAAUCCGCUUUGAGAUGGCCUCGCGUCCGAUUAGCUAGUUGGUGAGGUAACGGCCCACCAAGGCGACGAUCGGUAGCCGGACUGAGAGGUUGAACGGCCACAUUGGGACUGAGACACGGCCCAGACUCCUACGGGAGGCAGCAGUGGGGAAUAUUGCACAAUGGGGGAAACCCUGAUGCAGCGACGCCGCGUGGAGGAAGAAGGUCUUCGGAUUGUAAACUCCUGUUGUUGAGGAAGAUAAUGACGGUACUCAACAAGGAAGUGACGGCUAACUACGUGCCAGCAGCCGCGGUAAAACGUAGGUCACAAGCGUUGUCCGGAAUUACUGGGUGUAAAGGGAGCGCAGGCGGGAAGACAAGUUGGAAGUGAAAUCUAUGGGCUCAACCCAUAAACUGCUUUCAAAACUGUUUUUCUUGAGUAGUGCAGAGGUAGGCGGAAUUCCCGGUGUAGCGGUGGAAUGCGUAGAUAUCGGGAGGAACACCAGUGGCGAAGGCGGCCUACUGGGCACCAACUGACGCUGAGGCUCGAAAGUGUGGGUAGCAAACAGGAUUAGAUACCCUGGUAGUCCACACCGUAAACGAUGAUUACUAGGUGUUGGAGGAUUGACCCCUUCAGUGCCGCAGUUAACACAAUAAGUAAUCCACCUGGGGAGUACGACCGCAAGGUUGAAACUCAAAGGAAUUGACGGGGGCCCGCACAAGCAGUGGAGUAUGUGGUUUAAUUCGACGCAACGCGAAGAACCUUACCAAGUCUUGACAUCCCUUGACGAACAUAGAAAUAUGUUUUCUCUUCGGAGCAAGGAGACAGGUGGUGCAUGGUUGUCGUCAGCUCGUGUCGUGAGAUGUUGGGUUAAGUCCCGCAACGAGCGCAACCCUUAUGGUCAGUUACUACGCAAGAGGACUCUGGCCAGACUGCCGUUGACAAAACGGAGGAAGGUGGGGAUGACGUCAAAUCAUCAUGCCCUUUAUGACUUGGGCUACACACGUACUACAGUGGCGUUAAACAAAGAGAAGCAAGACCGC